CGAAAGGACCAUGAUUAAGUAAUAAUUAUUUAUUAUUGAUUAAUAUUAA
RNAcentral lists this ribosomal RNA (49 nucleotides) under Trithemis persephone. RNAcentral's name for it is "partial 16S ribosomal RNA". The record is from RNAcentral. Lineage: Eukaryota; Metazoa; Arthropoda; Insecta; Odonata; Libellulidae.